Molecule: non-coding RNA, 1168 nt
Organism: Cricetulus griseus (Chinese hamster)
Lineage: Eukaryota; Metazoa; Chordata; Mammalia; Rodentia; Cricetidae
Source: RefSeq, a predicted model, not a curated record
AUUAUGGGUUUUCCUUCGUAAGCCCUUGCUGGGCUUGAUUCUGGGUCAUUUCCUAGGAACCUAGAUAUGGACCUGGCCAGAGCCCAUCCACCUGGCCAUUAUUUAAUUAACACUUGCUUCAAAUGUGACUUUUAACUGUGAUAGUGUCUUAUUCUCGAUCGGUGGGAUUAACACUGGGAACUUAUCUUCUAGGGACUAAAGUCAGAGAGAAAUGGCUGGUGGGUGACAAGAUGGAUGCUUAGCAUACAAUGGAGCUUCUUUUGCUAUAAUUCCAACCUCUGGCAAGAUUGUUUCUGGAUGUUUCCCUCAUUUUAUGGCAAUGUAUGGCUUAAAACGGAGAGAUGAAAGCUGCCCAGGUUCUCCUGGUUCUGAUAUAGAACUGCCUGGAUUUAUUUUCCCAUCCUGGUGAUGGAACACAUUAGACACGGGUAAAAUUGAUUUCUACAGAGUCCGGACUUUGGAGCCCUCUAAAGCACAACAGACCUUUAGUGUUGGAUUUCAGUGCUCGGCUGAUUUAAUGCGUUCUGCUAACUGCACACAUGAGUGUCUGGUGCAAUCUUCCUGAAGCCACGCAGUUCACUCCAAAGAGACACUCUGGAGUCUGCAAUGUUUUUCUACAUCUCUUUUGUUUCUGGAGGACACCUUUAUCAGAAAUGUUCUCCUGAGCAGAGGUGAGCAGGCCAGCUCAUGGCCAUCUACACGCAACUGUUGACCAGACAGUACGAUUUACACUCCCAGUCUUGGAGCCUUUCAUCAAGGACUGCCUUCACUUACUGCCAGCUGGAUUUUAGCAAGUAUUGCAGAGACUCCUGACCAUCACACAUCACUAGAUGGGGCCGGACCUGGCGGCAUUUCAGACCCAUCUUCUUGCUCCAUCCUCAGUGGAGCGACUCCUGAAGAAGGCAGGAAAGGGCAUGGCUCUCUCUGUUACAUAGAAAAGUUUAUUUGGGGAAACAUAGCACAGAACUAAAGCUCCAUUCACUGUGGUCUGCAGACACAACAGCCUUGGCUGGGAGCUCUUCACCCUCUUAGAUGAAUGUCAGCACAGUGGGGCCAAGUGCCGCCCAUGAAAGCAGUAGGUUGGGCUUCCCCAUGUAACACCGUCGUUUGUUCUCAUCUUUUGGACUUUUCGGAACAAAACUAAAGAUGAACUUAACAUUUAAAGUCA